RNAcentral lists this ribosomal RNA (2893 nucleotides) under marine metagenome. Its description in RNAcentral is "bacterial LSU rRNA". It matches the Rfam family "Bacterial large subunit ribosomal RNA". The record is from RNAcentral.
UCAAUCAAUAAAGGGCAUAUGGUGGAGACCUAGGGACCUAGAGCCGAUGAAGGGCGUGACAACCGACGAUAUGCCUCGGGGAGCAGGACGUAUGCACUGAUCCGAGGAUUCCCGAAUGGGGCAACCCAAUGCAUUCCUUCUUGAAUUCAUAGAGAAGAGAAAGACAACUUAGUGAACUGAAACAUCUUAGUAGCUAAAGGAAAAGAAAGCAAAAGCGAUUCCCAAAGUAGCGGCGAGCGGAAUGGGAACAGCCUAAAAGGACUUUAACAGUAAUGUAAAGACCAGGUCAUGGGACCAAACAUAUGGCAUUGUAUGGAAUGAGAAACGAAACAGCUGAAACCUGUACCAUAGAUGGUGAAAGUCCAGUCGUUGAAUCACUACCAACUCCAGCCGUUUGGCUCCCGAGUAGUAUGGGACACGUGAAAUCCCGUAUGAAUUUGCGAGGACCACCUCGUAAGGCUAAAUACUCCUAGGUCACCGAUAGCGAAUAGUACCGCGAGGGAAAGGUGAAAAGAACCCCUUUACGGGGAGUGAAAUAGAACAUGAAACCGUAUGCUUACAAUUUGUGGGAGGAUGAACACAUCUGACCGCAUGCCUGUUGAAGAAUGAGCUGGCGACUUAGAAGAAGUGGCAGGUUAAGAUUUUCCAUCGAAGCCAAAGCGAAAGCAUGUCUGAUAAGGGCUCUCGUCCCUUCUUCUAGACCCGAACCCAGGUGAUCUAACCAUGACCAGAAUGAAGCUUUGGUGAUACGAAGUGGAGGUUCGAACCGACCGAUGUUGAAAAAUCGACGGAUGAGUUGUGGUUAGGGGUGAAAUGCCAAUCGAACUCGGAGCUAGCUGGUUCUCCCCGAAAUGCGUUUUGGCGCAGCGGUAAAUGUUAUAGUUUAGGGGUAAAGCACUGUUACGUAUGCGGGCUGGUAAUUCGGUACCAAAUCGUGGCAAACUAAGAAUACUAAGUGUACAGUCUACCAGUAAGACUGUGGGGGAUAAGCUCCAUUGUCAAGAGGGAAACAGCCCAGAUUACUAGUUAAGGCCCCUAAAUAAUUGCUAAGUGGUAAAGGAGGUGGGAUUGCAUAGACAAUCAGGAGGUUUGCCCAGAAGCAGCAAUCCUUUAAAGAGUGCGUAAUAGCUCACUGGUCGAGUAAUCUUGUGCCGAAAAUGAAUGGGGCUAAGUAAUUUGCCGAAGCUGUGAGAUAUUUUAUAUAUCGGUAGGGGAGCGUUCUAUGUUAGGUUGAAGCGUUAACGGAAGUGGGCGUGGACGAAAUAGAAGUGAGAAUGUCGGCUUGAGUAGCGAAAACAUUGGUGAGAAUCCAAUGCUCCGAAACCCUAAGGUUUCCUCCGCAAGGUUCGUCCACGGAGGGUUAGUCAGGUCCUAAGGUGAGGCUGAAAAGCGUAAUCGAUGGACAACAGGUUAAUAUUCCUGUACCGCUAUAUACUGCGAUGGGGGGACGGAGAAGGCUAGGUGAUCAGGGCGAUGGUUGUCCCUGUACAAGCUUGUAGGGAGAUCUCUUAGGUAAAUCCGGGAGAUCAUUAUCCUGAGGAGUGAUGUCGAGCUCAAUUGCGAGCGAAGUCAUUGAUGCCAUGCUUCCAAGAAAAGCCUCUAAGCUUCAGGUAUAUAGAGACCGUACUCCAAACCGACACAGGUGAUCAGGUAGAGAAUACCAAGGCGCUUGAGAGAACUAUGGUGAAGGAACUAGGCAAAAUGGUGCCGUAACUUCGGGAGAAGGCACGCCAUUGAUGGUGAUCGGACUUGCUCCGUAAGCUGUUGGUGGCCGCAGAGACCAGGCCCCUGCGACUGUUUAUCUAAAACACAGCACUCUGCAAACUCGUAAGAGGAAGUAUAGGGUGUGACGCCUGCCCGGUGCCGGAAGGUUAAUUGAUGGGGUUAGCUUCGGCGAAGCUCUUGAUCGAAGCCCCGGUAAACGGCGGCCGUAACUAUAACGGUCCUAAGGUAGCGAAAUUCCUUGUCGGGUAAGUUCCGACCUGCACGAAUGGUGCAACGAUCUGGACACUGUCUCAGCCAUGAGCUCGGUGAAAUUGUAGUAUCGGUGAAGAUGCCGAUUACCCGCAGCGGGACGAAAAGACCCCGUGAACCUUUACUAUAGCUUAGUAUUGGUUUUGGAUAAGUAAUGUGUAGGAUAGGUGGGAGACAUUGAAGUGGCGUCGCUAGGCGUUGUGGAGUCGUCCUUGAAAUACCACCCUUUGCUUAUCUAGAGUCUAACUCAGAGAUGAGGACAGUGCUUGGUGGGUAGUUUGACUGGGGUGGUCGCCUCCAAAAGAGUAACGGAGGCUUCUAAAGGUACCCUCAGCACGCUUGGUAACCGUGCGUAGAGUGCAAUGGCAUAAGGGUGCUUGACUGAGAGACAUACAGGUCGAUCAGGUUGGAAACAAGAGCAUAGUGAUCCGGUGGUUCCGCAUGGAAGGGCCAUCGCUCAACGGAUAAAAGGUACUCCGGGGAUAACAGGCUGAUCUCCCCCAAGAGUUCACAUCGACGGGGAGGUUUGGCACCUCGAUGUCGGCUCGUCACAUCCUGGGGCUGGAGAAGGUCCCAAGGGUUGGGCUGUUCGCCCAUUAAAGUGGCACGCGAGCUGGGUUCAGAACGUCGUGAGACAGUUCGGUCUCUAUCUGUUGUGGGCGUUGAAGUUUGAGAGGGUCUAUCUCUAGUACGAGAGGACCGAGAUGGACAGACCUCUGGUGUAUCUGUUGUGGCGCCAGCUGCAUUGCAGAGUAGCUACGUCUGGAAGGGAUAAGCGCUGAAAGCAUCUAAGCACGAAACCCUCCUCAAGAUGAGACUUCAUUAAGAGACGUUAUAGACUAUGACGUUGAUAGGCUGCAGGUGUAAAGACAGUAAUGUCAAAGCCGAGCAGUACUAAUUUCUCAAAAGCUUUUCAAAC